AGACAUGCAAAGACGGCGCGCACGCACGCACGCGAAGCAAUCGGCACAGUUUGGCAGAAGUAUAGAAAAACAUCAAUGAACACCUUCUUCCCCCCUCCCUGAUCUCCUCUCUCUCUCUAUCCCCACCGCAGACAAAGAGAGACGCUACCCAGAAACAUAUUGAGGGGAAAGGGGAGGACAGUGUGGUACAUCACAGAGUUUGUGUGCUACAAGACGCGAAUGUCGUGCAUGGGACAGCAAUGCCCUCCAUCUCACGCGGUGCUUCUCCUGCCUGCCCCUAGUGGUGGCGCGAGAAGCGGCGCAUACACCACAGCACCACCGCAGCACACAGCUACUACGUGUCUCAGAUGCUUCGUUGAGUCGCUUCAAAACGGCACACCACCACCCUCCGUGGAUGAGGUGUACCGCGGUGCCGUAGCCAUCAUGGAGGCGCUUGUGCAUAACUGCCCCGCCAGCGAAGAUGGCGAAGGCGCGCUGCUGGCCUGGGCAUACGACUGGCUGACGUUCGACCGCGACACCGACCCCUGUGCAAUACUCACCUUCUCUGGGGAGGUGCGCGUUUCGCAUCCGCGCCGUAUGGGCUCCACUUUGGCCGAUGUCCUUGUCGCGUUGUACACGUACGUCGUACGCCAUGGAGGCCGUUUCAGCGGCGGCCGCUCGGUGGUCGCAGCUGAUAAGACGGGCGCAAGAGCAGCACUGGGCACCGCUGCUGGCUCUCUUCACAGUCCGGAUCGCGACGCGGAAGAUGCUCGGUGGGUCGUGCUCGUCGACCUUGCCCAGUUUCUCUUCUCCUGCUGGGAUCUGCUGUUGGUCGGCGUGCCGACGCCCUUGUCGCAGCAGGUGCCGCCGUUGCACACCAGCAUGGCGAUUCUAACUUCUCAGGAGGCAUCGUUGCAGUGCCGUAGCGCUGUUUUUGACUGCUCACCAGCUGUCCCGUUGCCAUCGCCGGUGUUACUCGGGGAGACCGGCGACGGCGUGCCUGAGGAGGACGCACGGCAGUGCUGCUACCGGGAAGGAGGGGAUAAGGAGCCUGUGCAACGCGCCGGAUCGCAUGAGAACGUCGCUCAGGUGACCGCCGAAUCCGUGCACGACGUAGUUCGCCGGGUUAUAAGUGAGAUUUUCCGUGUCGCCGACGACGACGCGGCUACAAUCGCGGCAGGUCACAGCCGUGGCCCGCUCCGGAGCCCUGCGGCCGCCGCCACAUUUCUGAAAAUGGUGCAAGCCUCUCCCCUGCUCCGGCGGCUUGUAUGCUCUUCUCCACUUCUCAUCCGCUCCCUUGCGCGGUAUCUCCUGCCGCGGCUCGUUUUGCUGCAUCAUCGUCAACAGCAGCAGCUCCAUCAUCACGUCCCCGGUGAGGUAGGGGGAAAAAGAGCAGUGGCUGCCACCGCCAUCGAAGCACUGCUUUCCACGCUACACGCCGUCUCCUCAUAUGCAGCCUUGCCCAUGUCGAUGUGGUCUGCGCAGCCGCUGCCAGUCGUCGCGUCGCAGCUGUCGUGCCGCUGCUGCUCGUCGGACUCUGAGGUGUCACCAGCAUCCUCGCUUGCUGACAGCGACGGCGCCACGCUGCUCGAAACCCUGUGUGUCGUGCUGCAGUCUUGUUGCGGGGCUUACCCGUCCCCGUUGCGCCUUCAGACCUUGCGGCUUUUGCACCUGCUGAGCUCUUCACCCACGACACGGCACGCGCUCUUCUCCUCGUGCCGCCGCGAUGAGGUGUCAAGCAUGUUUUCGAUGCACGAGGAGAAGCCAAGACCAGCAGAUUCAGCAGCUGCUGCCGCGGUUGUGUCUAGAUCGCAGAGGCCUAGUGCGCUGGAUGUUGCACCGCACCUGCUGCCGCUAUUACUCAGCGGCGAGGGCGAGGUAGAAUCGGUCCAGCUCACCUGCAGCGUGCUGCAGCUGAUACUCCUCCACGUUCAGUCUCCACGUCUUUCUGCGCCACUCUCCGACCAGCACAACAACACUGCCCACAACACGACCACGGCAGCAGCUGGUGUGGCCGCCACCUUCACAGAAGACGGUAUCGUCGGGACCGCAGAUGAUGUGUUGGGCAUCAAGGCGGCAGUUCAGCUUGCGCACCACAUAAAAGACUACGCGAUGCAGGCGCUCUACUCCUGCACGUGCAAGACCGGGUACGCCUUGGUUGGGCUGCUGGACAGUGCGGCGUCUGUCGUGGCUGGCGCACGUGCGCUGCGGCAAGGUGCGAGCAUCGGAGCAGACGCAUCUGCCGAGUAUGACGAUGCAACAGUGCGAUGGGAGCAGCGACAGGACUGGCGCAUCAUCUUCCACGUCGCAGAGGUGGACAUGGCGCUCUUCGGCGUGCUUCUCCAAGGGACCGCUCUGUACGAUGCACUUGUCCAGUGCAACGGCGCCUGCGUCAGUGACGACGGCAGCGAAACCCGACUUGUCUGGGAUGAGGUUGCAAGCAGCAUCGUCGCUAUCGCGUCGCAUGAGCGCGGCGCGCAACUCUCCCUCUACAGCUUCCUGCGCUGCCUGGACGCGCUUGCGGCCGGGAUGCGGGGCAAUGUGCAGGCUCUCUGGUGCAACCGUCUGCGCCAGCUGGCGCACGAACUACUUGAGCGUGUGGACAGCCAUGUGCAAGACACGAGGUGGCGGCCAGCCGACACCGCAGCCGCGAUGAGGACGUUUUCGACUUUGGUGAUGUCUGGUGCGCUCCAAGACAACUCCAAUGACGAGUCCUUGUCCACCACGGCUGUGCCCCACGUUCGCGACGCGGCGGACACGCUCCUCCUACGGCGAAUGGUGGACCCUCAGACACUGCAUCUUCUGACGCGGGUGACAGCAGCCUACCUACCGGCCUCGUGUGGCCUCCUCGUCCCCCUAGGUGUGCAGCUACUCGACGAUGCUGUGUGCACAGGCGAACUCAUCGCGAUUCACUGCCCGGAGCCUAGCGGUUACCCUACAAUGACGUCGGCGUCCGUGGAGGAGAGUCGGUGUCUGCUCCGCAUUGCCACGUUUCUCAUGCGCAAUCAGCGUGAGAGCGGGGCAACUCCGACGCCGACAUUGACGUCCAAGGAAAGUCGCACGCGGCGUGCAAGCGACGGCCCCAGCCCCACUGGCCAAAAGCCCACCAUCCCGCCCUACCCUAUCCCAGGACAGCCCCACAUGUCGCCGUACACCUCCCGCGGCACAGGACGCUCAAAUGGCGGCGCCGACAGGGCCGGGCUGUUGGAUGUCCUGCUUGGCCUCUAUCCGGAGGCGCCAGAGCUGUUAGCGGCGCGGACGGAGCUCAUCCACGCUGUGGCACGAGGGCACGACGCUGAAGAUGCACAGCCGGAGCUCCUCGCUGCCCGUGCCUCCGCGUUCGUGGGCGCUGCGUCACUGACUGAGGUAGCGAUGUGCGCGAGUGACCUCCAGGCCUCGCUUUUGCUGAGUCUGGCGACGCUCGGGUGUCGUCCAUGCGUCGGGCGACAAGAGCUACGUGCCAUGCUGGAGGACCAGUGCCUCGUGUUGUGCAGCCGUCUACAGCGGGCAGGCUUCAGCGACUCUACUCGAGCGCCGGUCGCAUUAUGGUUAGCUGAGGCGGCAGAGGAGGAGGGUGAUGCUGUCGACCCGGCAAUCGCGGAGACAGCAUCCGACGGCGACGGCGACGACAACGCGGGCCUGCUGCUCGACGCACUGCAGGAAGUGUUCAUCCUAUUUGUUGUGCGCAUGUUAUGGUACGGCGGUCCGGAGUCAGAUCCUUCUCAGCCAUUGCCAUCACCGUCGUCGCAGGCGUCUGCCACCGAUGCCGCGGCAGAUGGUUUUUUCUCUGAGGCGCAUGCGCACGCGCUCAUGAUGUGUGUAGAGGAUAGUGUGGAGUUGCAGGAAGGUCUGCGCCAGCUCCUCUUCGACCUCCACACGCAGUAUCGCGUGGACGUGCGCGGCUUCCUGGCGCUUCUCCAGAGUGAGAAAGACCACGUGCCGCGACAGCGACCGCAUCAGGCGCAGGCCCCGUCGUCCGUGCUCUUUGCCGCUGCUGUUUUGAGCGUGAUCCUUUACGAUGGAGACCAGCCCGGGCUCUCGGCGACACAAGCCGGCGCGGCAUCUCCACUUCGUACGUAUAUGCGCUCUCUUCGCUCAGUGCAUUGGCUCACCGACACCUCGUCGCAGGAAGCGGGCGUGCCUUUCUCGGUCGGCCUGCUCUUGAGGUCGGUAUUCCGUGUGGCACAACGGGAGCUCCUGUCCCUCGAUUGCCUUCCUCACCCCCAAGAGCAACUGGCGGAUGUAGCGCUGGCCACCACCGCCGCAUUCCCCGCAGCCAUUGGGGGUCUGCACUUUCUCUACGGCGAGCUGGCGUUCCAGCAGCGCGGCUUGCAAAGCGGCGCUUUGCCGGUGCAACGCGUGGUGGAACGCCAGCUCGCAGCCGGAGAGGGCGUUCCGGUUUCCGCCUCCGGCUCGUCACCCGGUGUGGCGCUUUCAAUUUGCGUGUUGCGUGAGCACCUGGUACCGUUUCUCCUCCGCACCAACAGCAGCAGUGCUGCACACCGCAAUAAUCUGUCCAUGACCGUCGCUGCCCUCAAGUACUCCACAGUGCUCUUGCAGCUGAUGUCUGUCGCGCUGUGGCCCCUCGCACCGGCGACGUGCACGUCAGUGGACGCAGUACUGACCGAGUAUGCCAUGAGCCGCGCUCGCCAGCUUCUAGCGCUCACAACAGCCGAACUGACGCGCGCUGACGGCGCCGCCCGCAAACUUCUCUAUCCCCUUUUGCAGCUGCUGUACCUGCUGCUCAUGCGCGCGCACAAGGUCGAUGUGGUGCGCCGCUAUGGCACCGACUUGCUUCUCUUUGCCUUCAGAGCAAGACACGCUGCUAUCGCACGCGCCCACCUGAUCGUCUCUGGCGAAGUGGAGCAGGGUGCUCUGACAGACUCUGAUGAGGACAGCGCGCACGUCUGCGUCAUUGCAUCCAUUGUGUACAUCAUGGCUCAACAGAUUGCCGCCCCAAGGCGAAAAAGAACGACGGGGGAUACUGAGAUAGGGAGUGUCGAGGACGUUGCUCGUGCGGCCUCCGGCGGCGCUGCAGCAGUCGGCGGAGGGGGGCUAGAGCCACCGUCGCGGAAAGAUAUGCCUUGGUAUGUGUGGAUCCCCGUCCUACGGUACUACUGGUGCUUGCGGACCGCAGUCAGCCGCACCGCCAACGACCAUGCCGUGCGUGAGCAACGGCGAAGCGUGCUGCGCAUACUGGUUUCCGGCGUGGAGUACGUAAUUCGACUCUGUGGGGUGUCGCAUCUGGCGUGCUGCAGCCACAGCGCAGCUCACGUUAGCAACGACCCCGACCGAGAUGAGCGGCAAGCCGCAACCAUCUUGAUUGACUGGUGCACUGAGCUGAUCUUCUCCUCUUGGAGGAGCGGCGACGACUUCAACGACGCGCACGCCAACGGCACAAUCGUUGCGGCGCGCCUGCUAUACCUUCUCUUCUACCGCUUUCGUGCGCUAGCUGCGAACUCUGUGUGGUUCAACGCCCUCGUCCUGAGCUGUAUGCGUCAGACAGCGCUGUCGCGGCUGCUACGGCUCCCACUGGCCGCUGAAGGGUGGCUGCUCGCCGCGCUCAUUCAAGUUCUGCCCUACGUGCAGCACUCGCGCGCAUAUGACAACUAUGUGAAGGGAAGCGCUGCCAAGUUCUUUGAGAAGCCGGAAAUUGCGGUGCGCGUAAAACUGUUGCCGCACACUCCACCAAAGGAAGCGGCAACGGCAGUUGCAGCACGCCUUGUUGGUGCUUGUGGCGGCUGGGCUGAUGUGUCGGCUUCGGAGCCCGAGCUCAGCUGCGUCCUUCGCAUUCUUGUGGCGGCGUGUCGGCGAUACGAGUUGUCCUCGCACCGCUUGCGCAGCAGCAGCAGCAGCCUCGAGGUGAUCGUUCCGCUGGGUUUGCAGUUUGUGGAGGAGGCUCCUAUACGUGAAUGCCCUUCUGUUCUGGAGUACGCUUUCCCCUACACCGUCCCCUUCACGACAACCGCGGCACCACCUCUCCUGCUCGUCUUUCGCUGCUUUGCCGACCAGAUCCACGCGUGACGUGUCUUCUGCUGUUCUCUCUGCUCUCGAGCUCUCUCUUGUUUGGGUGUUGCUCUGUUUCUCCCUCACUGCUCAAAUACAGCUUCUACAUCCACGGCUCUCAGAGAAGCGCGGCGGAUCUUUGGUAUAAACACCUCCUUCGGAAGUAGGCACUCACGAGGGUGUCGUCGCAUGCUGGACAUCAUGCGUGUGAGAUGUGCGCGCCAGUCCACCUAGCCCCUCUCUCUCUCCCUCAGACCUGCUCUUCCACCCCUCCCUCUCUCAAAAG
This 6271-nucleotide unclassified non-coding RNA is filed under the name Leishmania donovani. RNAcentral describes it as "gene:LdHU3.35.2080(CDS-product:hypothetical_prote in_conserved)". Lineage: Eukaryota; Euglenozoa; Kinetoplastea; Trypanosomatida; Trypanosomatidae. The record is from RNAcentral.